UAUACUAUUUAUAUCCAAUGUUAAUCAUCCAUCUUAUUUAAAAAAAUUAUGAUUAGUAUUUUUAUUAUUAUUAGAUGAUAAAAUAUGAGUAAUACUUUAUGUGUGAUUAUUUUUUUAAAAGAUUUUUUAUAAAUUUUUCAAAUAAAACGGACGGUCAAACGUUGAAUACGGAUAUUCACAACUACGUUUAUU
This 192-nucleotide microRNA precursor is filed under the name Oryza punctata. RNAcentral's name for it is "MIR812 microRNA precursor family". It matches the Rfam family "MIR812 microRNA precursor family", at positions 27 to 205 of the family's 205-position model. Lineage: Eukaryota; Viridiplantae; Streptophyta; Magnoliopsida; Poales; Poaceae. The record is from Rfam by way of RNAcentral.